GCAGUCGAGCGACAGACGAGGAGCUUGCUCCUCUGACGUUAGCGGCGGACGGGUGAGUAACACGUGGAUAACCUACCUAUAAGACUGGGAUAACUUCGGGAAACCGGAGCUAAUACCUGAUAAUAUAUUGAACCGCAUGGUUCAAUAGUGAAAGACGGUUUUGCUGUCACUUAUAGAUGGAUCCGCGCCGCAUUAGCUAGUUGGUAAGGUAACGGCUUACCAAGGCAACGAUGCGUAGCCGACCUGAGAGGGUGAUCGGCCACACUGGAACUGAGACACGGUCCAGACUCCUACGGGAGGCAGCAGUAGGGAAUCUUCCGCAAUGGGCGAAAGCCUGACGGAGCAACGCCGCGUGAGUGAUGAAGGUCUUCGGAUCGUAAAACUCUGUUAUUAGGGAAGAACAAAUGUGUAAGUAACUAUGCACGUCUUGACGGUACCUAAUCAGAAAGCCACGGCUAACUACGUGCCAGCAGCCGCGGUAAUACGUAGGUGGCAAGCGUUAUCCGGAAUUAUUGGGCGUAAAGCGCGCGUAGGCGGUUUUUUAAGUCUGAUGUGAAAGCCCACGGCUCAACCGUGGAGGGUCAUUGGAAACUGGAAAACUUGAGUGCAGAAGAGGAAAGUGGAAUUCCAUGUGUAGCGGUGAAAUGCGCAGAGAUAUGGAGGAACACCAGUGGCGAAGGCGACUUUCUGGUCUGUAACUGACGCUGAUGUGCGAAAGCGUGGGGAUCAAACAGGAUUAGAUACCCUGGUAGUCCACGCCGUAAACGAUGAGUGCUAAGUGUUAGGGGGUUUCCGCCCCUUAGUGCUGCAGCUAACGCAUUAAGCACUCCGCCUGGGGAGUACGACCGCAAGGUUGAAACUCAUAGGAAUUGACGGGGACCCGCACAAGCGGUGGAGCAUGUGGUUUAAUUCGAAGCAACGCGAAGAACCUUACCAAAUCUUGACAUCCUCUGACCCCUCUAGAGAUAGAGUUUUCCCCUUCGGGGGACAGAGUGACAGGUGGUGCAUGGUUGUCGUCAGCUCGUGUCCUGAGAUGUUGGGUUAAGUCCCGCAACGAGCGCAACCUUUAAGCUUAGUUGCCAUCAUUAAGUUG
This 1093-nucleotide ribosomal RNA is filed under the name Staphylococcus epidermidis. RNAcentral describes it as "bacterial SSU rRNA". It matches the Rfam family "Bacterial small subunit ribosomal RNA", at positions 57 to 1133 of the family's 1533-position model. Lineage: Bacteria; Bacillati; Bacillota; Bacilli; Caryophanales; Staphylococcaceae. The record is from RNAcentral.